GCGCUGGGAGUUUGGGUUUGGUUGGCUGCAGCCAGCCAGCCGUGUAAAAACUCCAACGCCGGGCGCCGCGGGCAGCACCCACGGAGACCCGCGGGGAGCUGAGUGCAGCGCCUGACCAUGAGGAACACAAGCAAGGAACUUCAGGGCGCCACGCACCGCUACGCUCCCUGCGAUUGGUAUUACCACGUCCCAGUGAAGCGCUCUGAGAAGGCCGUGGAUGCCCCACCAGCGUCCCAGAUCCCAGGUCUCAGCAAUUUGGGAGACUCACACAGUGAGAACCUGCCUGGGACUCGGAGAUGCUGGAUAAAAGAAACAGAUUCGGAAUAUGUGAAGCUCGCCAAACAAGGCGGCAGGCCCGGUGAGCCCCCUCCUGCCCUGUUCAGUGUGGCAGCCUCGCAGGCGGUGAGGGGGGCGUUUGUUCCUAAUUUCUUCCAUAUAAAAAUAUUACUAUAGAGUCUGUAUGUUUAGCUUAGAGCCUUGGGAAAGCUAGGU
RNAcentral lists this small RNA (492 nucleotides) under Pan troglodytes (chimpanzee). Its description in RNAcentral is "retained intron". The record is from RNAcentral. Lineage: Eukaryota; Metazoa; Chordata; Mammalia; Primates; Hominidae.